CGCGGUGCAUUAGCUAGUUGGUAAGGUAAAGGCUUACCAAGGCGAUGAUGCAUAGCCGAGUUGAGAGACUGAUCGGCCACAUUGGGACUGAGACACGGCCCAAACUCCUACGGGAGGCAGCAGUAGGGAAUCUUCCACAAUGGACGAAAGUCUGAUGGAGCAACGCCGCGUGAGUGAAGAAGGGUUUCGGCUCGUAAAGCUCUGUUGGUAGUGAAGAAAGAUAGAGGUAGUAACUGGCCUUUAUUUGACGGUAAUUACUUAGAAAGUCACGGCUAACUACGUGCCAGCAGCCGCGGUAAUACGUAGGUGGCAAGCGUUGUCCGGAUUUAUUGGGCGUAAAGCGAGUGCAGGCGGUUCGAUAAGUCUGAUGUGAAAGCCUUCGGCUCAACCGGAGAAUUGCAUCAGAAACUGUUGAACUUGAGUGCAGAAGAGGAGAGUGGAACUCCAUGUGUAGCGGUGGAAUGCGUAGAUAUAUGGAAGAACACCAGUGGCGAAGGCGGCUCUCUGGUCUGCAACUGACGCUGAGGCUCGAAAGCAUGGGUAGCGAACAGGAUUAGAUACCCUGGUAGUCCAUGCCGUAAACGAUGAGUGCUAAGUGUUGGGAGGUUUCCGCCUCUCAGUGCUGCAGCUAACG
This 634-nucleotide ribosomal RNA is filed under the name uncultured bacterium. RNAcentral's name for it is "bacterial SSU rRNA". It matches the Rfam family "Bacterial small subunit ribosomal RNA", at positions 232 to 857 of the family's 1533-position model. The record is from RNAcentral.